UUCACAGCUGCUUGCUGAAUGAAAUGGGAAAAACACACACAUACUUAGGGAGUGUGUGUAAGGAGAGGAAUUUCAGGAUCAAGGGAUGCAAGUGGCAGGAUAAAGUAAUCUUUUCAAGUUUUGAAGCCCCCAUAUGCCUACAGGAAUACACUGCUUAGCAAGCCAUGCCAGGCAGUUGCCCCUGGAGCCACAUCACCAUGGCUGAAAACACCACAGGAGCGAUGGCCACAGACUCUGUGCACUGCUGAGCUCUGCUGGAGAAGAAAGAAUUCUCAAAUGACACUUUGCUGAGCAAGAAGGCUUCUUUGAUGGGCUAAACGUUCCUGGGCAUGAGAAGGGGAGGAGGAACAGGAGAGGACAGAUGGUUCUCAUGGCAGGAAAAAGAUGACACCACUCUCAUUAUCCAAGGUAUCCAAAGAAGUUAUAAUUAGUGAGAGUUACUUCUAAUUAUAUUUCAUUUUGCAAUUAACAUGGAUUAAUGCUAUGACGAGCAACAAAGGAUGGAGAGGAUCAAAACAGCAGCAAGUUGUGAGACCACAGGUAGGUAAUUCAGAGGAAAUCAAACUAUAAACAAAGGUAGUAAAACUAAUGGGCCAGCCCGGAGUACCUCUUCCCUUCGCAUCCACUUUUUGUGAUUUUUAUCUGCUCUCUAGUCUUCAGAGGGUCUGGUAGUUUAGGAUUUUUUUCCCUUAUUCUGUUACUACUCCCUGACUCUAGAACAGUGAUCUAACUGAACAUCUGGGAGAGACCGUGAUUUUAAUCAAUGAGAUCUCAUCUGAAUUCUGAUAGUCUAGUCAAUAGUUAUAUAUAACAUAUAUAUGACAUCAGGCAAAAUAAUUAACUUCUCUCCAUCUCACUGUUCUUUUUUUUUAUUUUAAGAAAAGGAGGUUUGAGGUGAUUAUACUAUGAAGUUUCACUUGGUCUCGGUUUUCUAUCUUUCACAUUCAAUUGGUCAGUGAGACUUUUCCAAUUCUCUCCAUUAAGUACCUUCUGAGUCUAUGAACUGCUCAUUUUCUCAUGCCAUUACUUUGUACCAGGCCCUCACAGUAUCUUGGACUAUUGAAACGGCCUUUUAGUUUAUUUCACUUCCUCUAAUCUCAUAGUUCUUUCUACUUAGUUUUCACCUGUUUGAGGUUUAAUUCUUCCCAGUUGCAUGUUUGAUUCAAUCCCUAACCCCUUAAUGGAACUAUCAAAGUUACAGUCAAGUAAGUCUAGAUGGCUUUUCAUGAUAUGAAAACUUUUUCACCAUCUGGCUGUUUUUUAUAAUUCUACUUUUUCUUCUCUUUCUCCUCAUUGAAUGAAACUUGCUGGGCUGGUUUUUGUAUAUACAUAUCCUUAGGCCUGAAAUAUCUGUCCAUAUGCCAUUUGCUUACUCCUCUGAUGACUUGCUAUUUAUUUUUGAAACCCAGCUCAAAUAUCUUCUCUUCUUACUCUCCUUCAUUAUUUUGAAUACUCUUUAUACUUUAAACGUAUGUUUACUGUUAUAUCUAUUAUACUAAGUCAAGUAAAUUUUAUAUGCACUGGACUUUUAGGACACGCAUAAAAUGUGUUAAUGAAGUCUUAAGUCUUUAUAAUUAUUUAAACGUUCCGGAUCACAGUUCAUAUCCAAUAAAUGUUAGCCUUUUUUUCCUUUCCCUUUUCUUCUUUCUUAAUGUCAGUGUUUUAGUUACACACACGUACAUGUACACUGUUGUGGAAAAGCCUGAAAGAUAUUCUUGAGGAAUGCUUGUUUUAGGGAAACUAAAUAAAUGGUAAUUUUUUAAAGGAAAUCACAGCAGAUGAGGUUCAAGAAAGCCCCAAGGUGAAGUGAAUGGUGAUAUGGCAGUAAUUCACUUAGAUUACCUUUUCAUUGGUAUGAAUCUUGGUAGAAAAAAAAAAUCUAUCUCCCACUUUCCAGCUCUGCAUUUUACCAAGCUCCUGAAAGUUCACUGAGAGUGCCUUUCUGCAAGCUGCUUUCUCCUUCUGGGUUAGUUUCUCCCUUUCUUCAGCCAACUGUUUCUAAUGUGAACCAUAAAUUAAGGCUCCCUUCCUUUGGGAAGCCACUCUAACAUGCCAAGGCUGAUUUCAUCAACUAUUUUCUGUGCUGUCAUAUCCUGAGCUUUCUACUUUCCACCCUGUCUUGUAAUCAUCUGUUUAUACAUUAUUCUUCCCUACCUGGUUGUGAACUUCCUGAAGGCAGGCUGGUGAUUCAUGGAUCCCUAGAUUCUGGUGACCUGUACAAUGCAGACAUUCAAUAAAUAUUUGAAUGAAUUAGUGAGUGAACAAAUGAAUGAAUCACAGAGGGAGGUCUUUGCCUGUCAUUGUUUUAUAUGUUGCCCUUUCCAGAGUAUAUCUCUCUAAGCAGUAGAGACUUUUCUUUGUAUUCUGUGUAUGGGUUAGGGCUUUGCCUGUUACUCACACUGAGUGGAGGCAAGAACUCUAAAAGCCAGGAAUACCUACCUAUCCCACCUCUUCCCAGCCAAGAGAAGUGGACAAUAUAAAAGAAUCAGUAUCAAAGGACUCAGAGUUACAAGCCCACACUCAAUCUUGACAUCCACUUACAGGCAUUUGCAAUGUCUCUCUCUUUUUGGCUUCUCAUUAAGCCUGCAGAAAUUAUGGGGAAGUAAAACAGCUCUUGGCUGGCACUUAACUUUUUCCUCUUUGAAAUCUGCAAGUCUAAUUAUUCAUUGCCCUCACAUGGGUUGUAGUUCACUUCUCUCCUGGAACCAGCCUGUCCACGGAUGCCCCAGUACACUCCCACUCCUGCCUUUCCGCUUGCAUUUUGAGAUGGCUAUAACACUUAGGGAAACUUCUCCUGAUUAAAAAAAUAAAAGGUUUAAAACGAGUCAAGAUGGCAGGUUAAAAAUAACUGAAACAGCCUCGCUGUCCCAGUUAUUACACGAUGGCCUGGCAGUUAAAACCUCCAGGCAGUGCCUCCGGCGAACUGAGUCCAGCACCUCAUCAUUAUCCUCCAGAAAUCCUUGGGUCGAUUGAAUCUGCAACCAUUAGCUAGAAUGGAAAGGUUCUGACCUGUCAUUUCAACAAGAAAAGGCAACCAAGCCAAGUUCUUCAUUAUAGGAAAGAUUUUUAGUGUUUUAAGACAUCACGGGCUCUCUAAUUUGUAAGGGACUAAUAGGGGGACAUCUUGGUGCUUCCCUGAUGAUCUGCCUCUCACUUGCGUCACCGACAGACUGGAUUAGGUGCCCCUCCCUUGCAUGGUGAAAACACCUCCUUAGCUCUGUAUCUCAGUGCUGUGAGAUGCACUUCAGAGUGGUGGCUAGGAAGGCAGCCUCUGGAGUCAAACUGCCCAAGAGAGGGUGUCAGCCCUGCCACUUACUAGCUGUGCCAUCUUGGACAAGUUACUUUACCACUCUGUGCUUCAGUUUAUGAGUAAAGUGGAAAUAAAUAUAGUCCCUACCUCAGGUGGGUUGUUGUACAAAAACGAAGUGAGAUAAUACAUGUACCGUUCUUUUAAAAAUGACAGAACAUGAUACACAUGUUAGCUGUUCAUAUUGCUAUUAGGUCAUUUUAUAAUUAUAGUCAUUUGUCCUUCAUUUGCAAACCUGCCUUUCCUAUUAGACUGUGAAUAUCCUGAGGAGAAGGACUUCAUCUUUUGACUGAAUCUUCAGGGGAUCAGGCAGGGCUUUGUUUUUGGUAGAAACAAAAUAAAUGAACAUUUGCAUAUGUAGAAGGACAUAAUUCUACAUUUUUAUUUUAGAGAGAGAAGAAAAACUAAGACAUAGAUGAAAAAUAGAUUAGAACCUAGAAUUAUAACCCAGUAUCAUGGCUCCUCCUUUGAUGUGCUUUCUUGGGUACCACAGGGAUGUUUGUGCCUGGAAAAUGGAAGGAUGAGGUCAGCUUCAUGCUCUGGGGAUUUGACCAGUGAUGGAAUUUGAGAAAAAAGAAAACUCAGAAGUCACAUCUCCCAGGUGUGUUAUCUAACUUUAUUAUGGAACCAAAUUUUCCAGAGAUUCCUGAGUCAUCCAAUCAAAAGAUCUCUUAUUUAGUAAUGCCCUUUGAAGAUUUAUAGGUACAUAGGUAUAUUUAUCUACAUAUAUAACAUGUAAAACUAGAACUCAGAGAAAUUAAUUGAAUAACUGUAGAUAAUAAGUGAAAAAGUGACUGGGCCAACAUAAAUCUCAUUGUUUGUCUCAAUUCAGGGCUCUUUUCAGUAGUGUAAGAUAGCAGUGAUUGCAUACUUACUAUGUAUUAGAUACUCUAGUAGGUGAUAUUUACUCAAUCUUUUUUCAUAAUCAUUUUUUCCUUUUGUCUUUUUAGGGCCUCAUCCAUGGCAUAUGGAGGUUCCCAGGCUGGGAGUUGAAUAGGAGCUGUAACCACUGGCUUACACCACAGCCACAGUAAUGCCAGAUCUGAGCCAUGUCUGCAACCUACACCACAGUUCACAGCAAUACCUGAUCCUUAACCCACUGAUCGAGGCCAGGGAUCAAACCCGCAUCCUCAUGGAUACUACCCGGGUUCAUUAAUCACUGAGCCACGAUGGGAACUCCAGUUUACUUAUAAUCUUUCCUCAUAAAAAUCCCAAUUGUACAGAUAGGAAACCCAUAGCUCACAGGAGUUAGGUAGCUUCCAAGUCAUAUAGGCAUCUUCCAAGGUCAUAUAACCAGAACAUAGCACAGGUGAGCACUAGGAUUCCUGAACAGAAUACCUUCAGGUCACUCGCUUCCACAUACAUCAAACUGUCUCUGGAGCCCUGUUUAGAGUAUAUAGACUUCCAUGAAUCAGAAGAAACAACAGCAGCAGUAAUAGUCAUAACCAAAUCCUGCACAAGAUUCAUUUUUGAUUCCAAAGAUAUUUGGACUUCUGCUUUUGGUUAAAAUGUCGUGAUGGAGAGUCAAUUUAUUUCCCAGCCUAUAUCAACCAAUAAAAUGACAAAAUACAUGCUUUCUAGACACCAGAUAUUAAGCAACAGAAAGACAGUGAACCUGACAAGAUAAAAACUCAAAAACUAGGAAUAGAGAAGACUCUCUCAACUUGAGAAAAGGUAUCUACAAACACACACACACACACACACACACACACACACACACACAGCUACCAUCAUAUUUAAUAGAUAAAGACUAAAACUUUUCUGCUGAGGUCCAGACCAACAAACACAAGUCUAUCUGUCUCCCACAUUUUUAUUCACCAUUGUACUAGCUGUUCUAGCCAGUGUAAUAAGAGGGGAAAAAGGAAAUAAAAGACAUUGAGAUGGGAAAGCAAUAAGUAAAAUUGUUUUUAGUUAAAGUUAACAUCAUCUCUAUGUAGAAAAUACAAUGAAAUUUACCAAAAAACUAUUAAAACCAUAAGUAAGUUUAGUAACAUUGCAAAGAUCAACAUAAAAUUCAGUUAUUUAUAUGUACUCUAACAAGAAAUUAAAAAAUAUUAAAAUAAAAAUAAUGCCAUAUACAGUAGCAUCAAAAAUAUAAGAUGCUUAGGGAGUUCCCUCAUGGCUCAGCAGGUUGGGGAUCCAGUGUUGUCACUGCUGUGGCUCUGGUUACCCUGGUUCCAGCUGUGGCACAGUUUCUAUCCCUGGCCUAGGAACUUCUACAUGCCAAAUAUAUAUAUAGUUAUAUAGUUAUAUAUAUGUUAUUUAUUUGUAUGUGUGUGUAUAUAUAUAUAUAUAAAAGUUUAUAUAUUUAUGUGUGUAUAUAUAUAUCUAUAUAAAAGUCGCUGGUAUAAUUGAAUAUUCAUAUGCAGAAAAGAACUUUAAUUUGGAGUUCCCAUCAUGGCUCAGUGGUUAACGAAUCCGACUAGGAACCAUGAGGUUGUGGGUUUGAUCCCUGCCCUUGCUCAGUGGGUUAAGGAUCCGGCGUCGCCCUGAGCUGUGGUGUAGGUUGCAGACACUGCUCAGAUCUUGCGUUGCUGUGGCUCUGGCGUAGGCUGGUGGCUAUGGCUCCAAUUAGACCCCUAGCCUGGGAACCUUCAUAUGUGGCGCGGGAACAGCCCCAAAAAAGGCAAAAAAAAAAAAA
RNAcentral lists this long non-coding RNA (5948 nucleotides) under Sus scrofa (pig). RNAcentral's name for it is "lncRNA (ENSSSCG00040028168.1)". Lineage: Eukaryota; Metazoa; Chordata; Mammalia; Artiodactyla; Suidae. The record is from RNAcentral.